Molecule: ribosomal RNA, 253 nt
Filed under: uncultured bacterium
Lineage: Bacteria
Description: partial 16S ribosomal RNA
Rfam family: Bacterial small subunit ribosomal RNA
Source: RNAcentral
UACGGAGGGUGCGAGCGUUGUCCGGAAUCACUGGGCGUAAAGGGCGCGUAGGUGGCCCGUUAAGUGGCUGGUGAAAUCCCUCGGCUUAACCGGGGAACUGCGCUUGAUACUGGAUGGCUUGAGAUUGGGAGAGGGAUGCGGAAUUCCAGGUGUAGCGGUGAAAUGCGUAGAUAUCUGGAGGAACACCGGUGGCGAAGGCGGCAUCCUGGACCAACACUGACGCUGAGGAGCGAAAGCCAGGGGAGCAAACGGG